This 407-nucleotide ribosomal RNA is filed under the name uncultured bacterium. RNAcentral's name for it is "partial 16S ribosomal RNA". It matches the Rfam family "Bacterial small subunit ribosomal RNA", at positions 30 to 526 of the family's 1533-position model. The record is from RNAcentral.
AUUGAACGCUAGCGGGAUGCCUUACACAUGCAAGUCGAACGGAGUGGCGAACGGGUGAGUAAUGUCUCGGAACGUGCCCAGUAGUGGGGGAUAACUACGCGAAAGCGUAGCUAAUACCGCAUACUAUUGGAGCGGCCGAUAUCGGAUUAGCUAGUUGGUGGGGUAACGGCUCACCAAGGCGACGAUCCGUAGCUGGUUUGAGAGGACGAUCAGCCACACUGGGACUGAGACACGGCCCAGACUCCUACGGGAGGCAGCAGUGGGGAAUUUUGGACAAUGGGGGAAACCCUGACCCAGCCAUGCCGCGUGGGCGAAGAAGGUCUUCGGAUUGUAAAGCACUGUUGGCAGGAAAGCGGUACCUACAGAAGAAGCACCGGCUAACUCCGUGCCAGCCGCCGCGGUAAUAC